AUACGGAGGAUCCAAGCGUUAUCCGGAUUUAUUGGGUUUAAAGGGAGCGUAGGCGGGAGCUUAAGUCAGCGGUUAAAUGGUGCGGCUCAACCGUGCCCUGCCGUUGAAACUGGGUUUCUUGAGAGUGCAAGAGGCGGAUGGAAUUCAUGGUGUAGCGGUGAAAUGCUUAGAUAUCAUGAAGAACUCCGAUUGCGAAGGCAGUCCGCUGGGGCACGUCUGACGCUGAUGCUCGAAGGUGCGGGAAUCAAACAGGAUUAGAUACCCUGGUAGUCCGCACGGUAAACGAUGAUUACCCGCUGUCGGCGGUAGACAGUCGGCGGCCAAGCGAAAGCGAUAAGUAAUCCACCUGGGGAGUACGCCGGCAACGGUGAAACUUAAAGGAAUUGACGGGG
Molecule: ribosomal RNA, 392 nt
Filed under: uncultured bacterium
Lineage: Bacteria
Description: partial 16S ribosomal RNA
Rfam family: Bacterial small subunit ribosomal RNA
Source: RNAcentral